UUGCAGGAGUCUGUCAUGGGGCUGGCUCUGUUUCACAACUUAAUGACUUGCAGGAGUGGAUGGAGUAAGCUUGCGGAUGAUACCAAGUUCAGUGGGGUAGCAGAUACUUUAAGACAGAAUUAGGAUUCAAAAUGAGUUGGAUAAAUUAGGGACGUAGUCUGAAAUAAAUUGAAUGAAAUUUAGUAAGGGGAAGUGUAAAGCACUGUACUUAGGAAGGAGCAACCAAACACAGGAAUAUGUACAAAAUGGGUGAAUGACUGACUGAGCUGUCACCAGCACCGCAGGGCAGACCUGAAUGCAAGCUGAAGGAGUCAACUGGGUGAUAUUGUUACUGAAAAAACUAAGACGGGGAUGUUUUAACAGGAGCGUUAUGCACAAGUUGCAGGAAGCAGUUCUGCCACUCACUCAGCAGUGUGGAGGUGUCAUCUGGAGCAGUGUCCGGCUUUGGACAACACACUCCCAAAAGAUGCGGGAAACCUGAAGAGUCCAGAAGGAAACAACAAGAACUAAGGAGCUCCCGAUGGGGAUGUAUCUGGCCACAUGCUGAAAGUGUUACUCCAACAAACAGCUGAAGGCAGCAGAGAAUUUGCUUACAAGGGCUGCACUGUGCAUUUGGACAAGCCUCACGGGAACAGCCCCUGCCUGGGUAGGGAUGUACAUUGCCAGAAGCUGCUACUUCUUUGAAGAGCUGCCAUCAACCGACUUUAGGCUUGUGUGGAAGCCUCUGUGCAGAGGGGCAGGUAAGUUGCCCAGAUUCAUAAAAGGGU
Long non-coding RNA from Alligator sinensis (Chinese alligator), 767 nucleotides. RefSeq lists it as uncharacterized. NCBI's taxonomy places the organism in Eukaryota, Metazoa, Chordata, Crocodylia, Alligatoridae. The record is from RefSeq and is a predicted model, not a curated record. The transcript has 3 exons.